This 818-nucleotide long non-coding RNA is filed under the name Vulpes vulpes (red fox). RNAcentral describes it as "lncRNA (ENSVVUG00000005254.1)". Lineage: Eukaryota; Metazoa; Chordata; Mammalia; Carnivora; Canidae. The record is from RNAcentral.
AUGAGAAAUUCAAGUAUAGGAAAGAAAGCCAUGACAAUCCAUCGGCUGAUUCAGCUUCUGUUUCACAUGGUAAUGACUGAGCUCCCUUCUUUGCUAAAGGAAGAGAACUUCUACCAACAAGGAGAGAUCAAGCAAAGUGGCUGUGGCCUCUUUGGCUUCUUCACCCAACAUGUGAAGGUACCUCUCUGGGUCAUUUACAACCUCCAGUCCAUUCUGCCUAUUUCUUGAUCCUCCUUUCACCAUAGAAACCAGCUACAAAGAUCUUGCUGACUUGUGCUCAUUUGUUUAGCCUAUGUCCAUCUCUUUUAUUUGCCCCAUUUCUUAGGGAGUUUAAACUCACUUAUUGGGAAAUUCUUCAAAGUUACUAAGAUCUUAUUAUCAAUAGGCUAUAUGACCUGAUCCAAAAGCCAGAAGAGACAUGCAGUACCAUGAAUUCCAGUUAUACAGGUAUCUUCAAGCCAGUAUUUCUUAAUGAUAGAAUGUGGUCUAUUGGACACAGGUUAUUUUCUAAGUGGAGCAGUUAGAGAAAUUAUGAUUUUAUGUGGGUACUUUUUUGAGAGAAAAUGUUUAGAGCAGUUAUAAUUUAGCUUUAAUAGUUUAGCUUUGCUAGAGAAAACAAACUUGUUGGCUAUAUAUCCAAAUAUUUCUUAUAGGCUGUUAAGACAACAAAGCCUUUUAUACAGUUUCUUCUUUACAUUGGGAGAUUGCUACUUAAAUAAGAACACUGAAAGCAUGUAUUCUGAGAGAUUUUGUUGUUCAGAGAGUGUAAAUUUUUUAAUUUAAAUAAAAGAUGAAAAAAAUUAAUGAAGGAACUAUGU